UACGUAGGGCGCGAGCGUUGUCCGGAAUUACUGGGCGUAAAGCGCGCGCAGGCGGCCCUUUAAGUCUGACGGUGAAAUGCCGGGGCUCAACCCCGUGCCCGCCGCGGAUACUGGAGGGCUGGAGACACGUAGAGGCAAGCGGAAUUCCGGGUGUAGCGGUGGAAUGCGUAGAGAUCCGGAAGAACACCGGAGGCGAAGGCGGCUUGCUGGGCGUAGUCUGACGCUGAGGCGCGAAAGCGUGGGGAGCGAACAGG
This 254-nucleotide ribosomal RNA is filed under the name uncultured bacterium. RNAcentral describes it as "partial 16S ribosomal RNA". It matches the Rfam family "Bacterial small subunit ribosomal RNA", at positions 524 to 776 of the family's 1533-position model. The record is from RNAcentral.